GUCAAACUGAUAGAUCGGAAAUAAACUGACAACGCAAUGGCUAAAAAAGAAAAAGACAAACAGACAAAUAAUAGUACACCAACACAACAAAGGGACAGUCAAACUGAUAGAUUGGAAAUAAACAGACAAUGCAAUGGCUAAAAAAGAAAAAGACAAACAGACAAAUAAUAGUACACCAACACAACAAAGGGACAGUCAAACUGAUAGAUCGGAAAUAAACUGACAAUACAAUGGCUAAAAAAGAAAAAGACAAACAGACAAAUAAUAGUACACAAACACAACAAAGGACAGUCAAACUGAUAGAUCGGAAAUAAACUGACAAUGCAAUGGCUAAAAAAGAAAAAGACAAACAGACAAAUAAUAGUACACAAACACAACAAAGGGACAGUCAAACUGAUAGAUCGGAAAUAAACUGACAAUGCAAUGGCUAAAAAAGAAAAAGACAAACAGACAAAUAAUAGUACACAAACACAAC
RNAcentral lists this long non-coding RNA (475 nucleotides) under Mytilus galloprovincialis (Mediterranean mussel). The record is from RNAcentral. Lineage: Eukaryota; Metazoa; Mollusca; Bivalvia; Mytilida; Mytilidae.